AAAAUAAUUGGGAGAGGGAUACAGCAAGGAAAAAGGGGGUUGGGAGGGAACGGGGAAGUACAGCAAAAUUUCCUGGCAUACAUUCAUACAAUUCCCACAUGAUAUGGUGAUAUACUUACGUGCCCGUACAAAACACUUAAGGGGAGCAAUUCUAAAUGUGCGUACAGUGUGUAACAGCGAGCCUGUUAACCUCAACCUUUUGUGGUGACAGGGCCGAGUAACUUAGAAACAUGGAAUGUGACGGCAGAUAAGAAGCAUUCGGCCCAUCUAGUCUGCCCAAUUUUUAAAAUAUUUUUAUUAGUCCCUGGCCUCAUCUUAUAGUUAGGAUAGCCUUAUGCCUAUCCCACGCAUGCUUAAACUCCUUUACUGUGUUAACCUCUACCACUUCAGCUGGAAGGCUAUUCCAUGCAUCCACUACCCUCUCAGUAAAGUAAUACUCCUCUUGUUGUGGUAGUUUUUCUUCUUUUACAUAUAAUCUCCUACUUUACUGUGUUGAUUCCUUUUAUGUAUUUAAAUGUUUCUACCAUAUCCCCCCUGUCUCGUCUUUCCUCCAAGCUAUACAUGUUAAGUUCCUUUAACCUUUCCUUGUAAGUUUUAUCCUGCAAUCCAUGAACCAGUUUAGUAGCCCUUCUCUGUGAACUCUCUCUAAAGUAUCAAUAUCCUUCUGGAGAUACGGUCUCCAGUACUGCAUACAAUACUCCAAGUGAGGUCUCACCAGUGUUCUGUACAAUGGCAUGAGCACUUCCAUCUUUCUACUGCUAAUACCUUUCCAUAUACAACCAAGCAUUCUGCUAGCAUUUCCAGCUGCUCUAUUACAUUGUCUGCCUACCUUAAAGUCCUCAGAAAUAAUUACCGCUAAAUCCUUUUCCUCAUAUGUUGAGGUUAGGACUCUAUCAGAUAUUCUGUACUCUGCCCUUGGAUUUUUACGUCGAAGAUGCAUUAUCUUGCACUUAUCCACAUUAAAUGUCAGUUGCCACAACUCUGACUAUUUUUCUAGUUUACAUAAAUCAUUUGCCAUUUGGCUUAUCCCUCCUGGAACAUCAACCCUGUUACAUAUUUUUGUAUCAUCAGCAAAAAGACAUACCUUACCAUCAAGACCUUCUGCAAUAUCUCUAAUAAAAAUAUUAAAGAGAAUGGGUCCAAGUAGAGAUGCCUGAGGUACCCCACUGGUGACAAGCCCAAGCUUCGAAUAUAUUCCAUUAACUACAAGCCUCUGUUGCCUGUCACUCAGCCACUGCCUUACCCAUUCAACAACAUUGGAAUUCAAACUUAACGAUUGCAGUUUAUUGAUAAGCCUUCUAUGUGCAACAGUGUCAAAAGCCUUACUGAAAUCUAGGUAAGCAAUAUAUACUGUACCACCCUGAUCUAUUAUUUUAGUUACCCAAUCAAAAAAAUCAAUAAGAUUAGUUUGGCAUGAUCUCCCUGAAGUAAACCCAUGUUGUCUCUGAUCUUGAAAUCCAUGUGAUUUUAGAUGUUCAACAAUCCUAUCCUUUAACAUGGUUUCCAUUACUUUCCCCACUACUGAAGUAAGGCUUACUGGCCAAUAGCUGCCCGACUCCUCUCUACUACCUUUCUUGUGAAUGGGCACAACAUUCGCUAACUAACCAAUCUUCUGGGACUACUCCUGUUAACAAUGAUUGGUUGAAUAAAUCUGUUAAUGGUUUUGCUAGUACACCACUAAGCUCUUUUAAUAACUUUGGCUGUAUUCCAUCAGACUUAUUUGUCUAUACUUUUGACAGUUGAAAUAGAACCUCUUCUUCUGUAAACUCACAUGUAAUAAAUGACCCAUUUGUCCUUUUUCAUAAAUGUGGCCCCUUUCCUUCAUUUUCAUCUGUACAUACUGAACAAACAUAUUCAUUGAGGCAGUCAGCUAGACCUUUAUCCUCUUCUAUAUACCUUCCUUCUUUUGUUUUUAAUCUAACUAAUCCUUGCUUUACUUUUCUUUUCUCAUUGAUGUAUCUAAAAAAUGUUUUGUCCAAUUUGUUUUACUGACUGUGCUAUUUUCUCUUCUGUGUGUGAUUUGAAAGCUCUUAUAACUUGCUCUUUCUGUCUAAUCUUAUAGAUCUGUCUUCCUCAUUUUUUAUAAUUACUAAAUGCUAACUUUUUGUUUUGUACUAUUUUGGCCACAUCUGCGGAGUACCACAGUGGUUACUUGAAUUCUUUUUUUUUUUUUUUACUGACCAGUCUAAUGCAAUUUUCUGUUGCCUUCAGCAGUGAAACUUUUAAAUAAUACCAUUUCUCUUGGACUCCAUUUUAAUUGCUCCAGUCUGACAAUGACUCCUUUACACAUAUUCUAAUUUUAGAAAAGUCUGUUUUUCUAAAGUCUAAAACUUUUGUUUUUGUGUGGUGUGACUCCGUCACUGUUCUUAUAUUAAACCACACUGACUGAUGAUCACUGGAUCCUAAACUUUCACCUACAGUAAUAUCUGAUACCAAAUCUCUAUUUGUUAAAACUAAAUCUAGUAUGGCCUCUUUACAAGUUGGCUCCUCAACGACUUGUUUUAGAGACAAUCCCAGUAGGGAGUUUAGAAUAUGUGUGCUCCUGGUACAAACUGCUAUUUUGGUUUUCCAGUUCACAUCAGGAAGACUGAUGAUAACUUCCCCCUUCAUUGUCAUUUUAGCUAUUUCCUCAACUAGUAGAUUAUCUAAGUCUUCUAUUUGUCCUGGGGGCCUAUAAAUCACACCUACACGAGUAACCCAAACGGACUCUAUGUUCGCCUCACUAACUUUUAUUAGGCUAGAUUUUAUGCUAUCCUUCACAUACAGGGCCACACCUCCCCCUUUCUUGCCUUCCCUGUCUUUUCUAUAUAAAGAGUACCCUGG
Molecule: long non-coding RNA, 2823 nt
Filed under: Pelobates cultripes (western spadefoot toad)
Lineage: Eukaryota; Metazoa; Chordata; Amphibia; Anura; Pelobatidae
Source: RNAcentral